Cyprinus carpio (common carp) is the source of this 2280-nucleotide RNA transcript. It is a transcript of the gene named 5'-nucleotidase domain-containing protein 1-like, with no coding region annotated. Lineage: Eukaryota; Metazoa; Chordata; Actinopteri; Cypriniformes; Cyprinidae. The record is from RefSeq and is a predicted model, not a curated record.
AAAUUCACACUUCUGCUAAUGUUCAAGAAGCACAAACAUAACUGAACAUGAUGAAAAUAAUUUGGUUCUGGGAAGUAUUUAUUUUAAAAAAUGGAGCCAGUUCUAAAUUAGAAGCAGUUCUUGAUUCAUAACCCACAUCAUAACAUGCUUUUGAUACAGUAUUAUAACUUCCAUUUCUGGUACACUGUUUAAUUCUAAGGGAUUUUAUUUUCCAUGUUUUGUUUUUAACUAGAUCACAGUUCAAGUUACAGAUGUUUUGGGGUUAUUUAAGCAAUGGUAUUUCAUGCCAUUACAGUUAUUUGAAAUGUAAUUUGUUCCUCGGGACUAAUUAUACCUAAAAUGGAAGCAAAAUGGCUGAAAAUCCCAGGCUUUUCACUACAUGCAAAACCUAAACUGAAGAAAUUAAGUUAUUUUGUGAAUUCUCCAGUAGCAUGCCAAUAUUUUAAGAGUAUAACACACUAUGGGUAACAGAUUGUGUAAUAGUUUUUGCAGUUGGUUAUUUUUAUAGUAAGAAGACUGACUUCUUUCUUUGUUUAUUUUUAUCUCUGGUAAAGCAUUUUGUGUGGAUUUAGUCUUAAAAAUAUAUCUGCACAAAUGUCCAAUAUUUGUAUCAUUUUCAUAUUUGUUAAACCAUACAUGCUGUAGAAAAGCCAUGUGUAUUUAGUAUUACUGUACAGAAGUAUUAUAUACUCGUUGUGUAUAGAUGCAGUUUAUUUCAUCGGUCUUAAAAUAUAACCCACUUUCUCUUCUGGGUCUCAAUAGUGAAUGAUGUUGGAGAUAGUGAAGGACUGCCGUCUCUGGAAAAGCCUGGUUGGUAUUCUCAGGGCAACUGGCCUCAUCUACACAAACUACUGAAGACCAUGACCCAACAAAUCAGAGCCCAAGGUGGUGUAUUUCGGAGACAGCAUGCACUCGGACAUGUUCCCAGCCUCCAGCUUUGGAAAGUGGGAGACUGUGAUGAUUGUGGAGGAGAUGGAGGGGGAGGGCGUUCCACGUGCUAACGCGACCCCCAGUAACAGCCCCACCUCCCGAGUGAAGGGCCGGUGGAGAAAAAGGGCAAAUUUGAGGAUCAAGGAAUGAAAUCUCCUUCAGCUCUAUCAAACCAGUGGGGCUCAUAUUUUGUUGACGUGCAAAAGAAUGAAGGAGAGGAGACACGGAGACUCACCUGGUGUUGCCAGAGUAUCCACACAUACAGCACCAUGGCUAUACCCAGCAUAUAGCAGAUCGAUUACACUGCUGGUAACUGUUUCUUCAGUGACGUGUUCAGUGCAUACAGCGGGAGCCAAAGGUCUGAUGCUGAUCUUUCUCUAGACUUUAAGUUCCAGAGAUUCUCUCCAGAUAAGCCCAUCACGACAGGUUAUUACCCCAGACCUCCAGACUCACUGCUGAAAUGGGAAGAGAACUAGUCCUGAACCCUCAGGCCUGUCAGCACAGAUCAGGAGAUUUUUUCACCGUUACGUUCUGGAGCUUCCCCCCAGAGCAGUCAGUGAUAAAGCUGUGUGAAUGUAACACCCAGAGCACCCAGUGUCUGUGUGUUUUCUUCUCACCCCUUCCUGAAUCACAUACACAGUAUGACGUUGUGUGUGUACACGUGCUGAAAUAUCCGUACAUUGAUCAUUGGAUGUAGGAGGAAGUCGCAGUGUAUUGUGUCUCACCAGCGUUGUGCACUCACUACCAUUAAACUACUUUUAAUGGUGUACAGAGAAAAAAAACAUAGCUUUCAUUUGAGCUGUGUGUUGUUGUUUUUUUGUUGUUUUUUUAUUCUUGUCUGUUUUUAUAUCGGGAAUGUUAUAUGUUAUAGGGUUUGUUUUUGCAGCUGUUGUAAAUGCUUUCUGAGGAAAGCAGGCACAAAUUAUAUUGAAUAUGCAUGCAAUUUAAGAAACAGCCAUGAGUUCUUGGCUCCUUUUGGGAUUGUUUGAUGUUUUGAGAGUGUUGUAAACUGCAAGCUUUCAGAUCUGGACUGGUUAAUUAUAGAAUAAUGUCGUUUGAUUUUAAGUACUUUGGUUUACUGUAGUUUACUGUAUACUGCGGACAUUUCUGUGACAAAUGGGAAAAUGGACAUCAUACUUCCAAGUGCCAGUGUUAUGAGGAAUAGUUUACCCCAAAAAAAAAAAAGUCAUGAUUUAUUCACCAUCAUGUUGUUCCAAACCAUUGAGCUGUUGAUGGAACAUAAAGGCAUCGCUGAGGAAUCUUCACACAGCUCUUUCCAUACAACAACAGUUCAUGGUGACCACAUAUGUCAAGCUCAAAAAAGUACAGAAAUAAAAGCAAAUGAAACUA